RNAcentral lists this long non-coding RNA (619 nucleotides) under Equus caballus (horse). RNAcentral describes it as "lncRNA (ENSECAG00000031681.3)". Lineage: Eukaryota; Metazoa; Chordata; Mammalia; Perissodactyla; Equidae. The record is from RNAcentral.
AAUUUCUUUAUCUGCAGAUGUCAACAGUGCCUCAUCCUCUUUAUUUCCACCAGAAUUUAUAUGGUGGGCCAGGGCUUGGUGAGCGGUGGUAAUUUCCUGUGCAGUAUAUACUGCCCUACUUGUGAGGAGCAUAUUGCUGUUCAAGGGUCAACAUGCAAACACAUGGGGGCAUUACUGAAACCAAUGGAUGUUACCUGGAGAAGCCAGCCUGAAAAUAUCUGGUGCAGUGGCGUUAUGAGGAGUCUUUCAUGGAGCAUGGACUACUCAUCAUCUGUGAAGCCCAGGGCAAGUGCUGUUUUUAAGAUAGAGUCAGGCUGCUUUAUAUACAUCCAGUCUGUUUCCCUGACUGCUGCACCACCUUUCCCCUGCUCAGUGCUUGGUGAUGGACCACAAGGCUCCAGGAGAAUACAGACUGUCCAUAUCUGUCUUCUUCCCUGUUGCGCAGCCCCGAGGUCCUGCACAGUGCCAGGCAGAGAGUUCUGCUGAAGGAAAAGUUGUUAAAUAAAUACAUAAGUGCUCAUAUGCAACUCUUUUGUUUGAAUAAGUUAAAUGUAUUUUCAAUUGUAAACUAAAGAAGGGUUGUAAACAGUUGUAUUUUAUUUAAGGAAAAUAAAUUAUG